This 301-nucleotide ribosomal RNA is filed under the name uncultured bacterium. Its description in RNAcentral is "partial 16S ribosomal RNA". It matches the Rfam family "Bacterial small subunit ribosomal RNA", at positions 509 to 807 of the family's 1533-position model. The record is from RNAcentral.
CAGUCGCCACGGGAAUACGUAGGUGGCAAGCGUUGUCCGGAAUUAUUGGGCGUAAAGGGCUCGCAGGCGGUUUCUUAAGUCUGAUGUGAAAGCCCCCGGCUCAACCGGGGAGGGUCAUUGGAAACUGGGAAACUUGAGUGCAGAAGAGGAGAGUAGAAUUCCACGUGUAGCGGUGAAAUGCGUAGAGAUGUGGAGGAACACCAGUGGCGAAGGCGACUCUCUGGUCUGUAACUGACGCUGAGGAGCGAAAGCGUGGGGAGCGAACAGGAUUAGAUACCCGCGUAGUCCCUGUCUCUUAUAC